AGAGUUUGAUUUUGGCUCAGAUUGAACGCUGGCGGCGUGCUUAACACAUGCAAGUCGAACGCGAAAGGGGGCUUCUGCUCCCGAGUAGAGUGGCGCACGGGUGAGUAACGCGUGGAUAAUCUGCCCUCUUGUUCGGGAUAACUGCUCGGAAACGGCAGCUAAUACCGGAUAAGCUCCACCAAUUGUAUGGUGAGGAAAGGAGGCCUCUUCAUGAAAGCUUCCGCGAGGGGAUGAGUCCGCGUCCCAUUAGCUAGUUGGUGAGGUAACGGCCCACCAAGGCAACGAUGGGUAGCCGGUCUAAGAGGAUGACCGGCCACACUGGAACUGAAACACGGUCCAGACUCCUACGGGAGGCAGCAGUGGGGAAUAUUGCGCAAUGGACGAAAGUCUGACGCAGCGACGCCGCGUGAGGGAUGAAGGUUUUCGGAUCGUAAACCUCUGUCAGGAGGGAAGAAAGCGCAUGGCGCCAAUCAGCCAUGCGUUGACGGUACCUCCAAAGGAAGCGCCGGCUAACUCCGUGCCAGCAGCCGCGGUAAUACGGAGGGCGCGAGCGUUAAUCGGAAUUACUGGGCGUAAAGCGCGCGUAGGCUGUUGUGUAAGUUGGGGGUGAAAUCCCACGGCUCAACCGUGGAACAGCCCUUGAUACUGCGCGACUUGAAUCCGGGAGAGGGUGGCGGAAUUCCAGGUGUAGGAGUGAAAUCCGUAGAUAUCUGGAGGAACAUCAGUGGCGAAGGCGGCCACCUGGACCGGUAUUGACGCUGAGGCGCGAAAGCGUGGGGAGCAAACAGGAUUAGAUACCCUGGUAGUCCACGCUGUAAACGAU
This 823-nucleotide ribosomal RNA is filed under the name uncultured bacterium. RNAcentral describes it as "bacterial SSU rRNA". It matches the Rfam family "Bacterial small subunit ribosomal RNA", at positions 8 to 810 of the family's 1533-position model. The record is from RNAcentral.